GUGUGGUUAUGUUGCUAAGAGUGUUGAUGCCGAUCGGUCCGGUUCAUUAAGUCAGGUAAAUCGCUUGUAAUUGCUUCGGAAGUGCGGCUAAUUGCCUCUCGAGGGAUUUAACGUACCCAUUUGCCUGUCGUUUCUUAAUUUACGCUGACCGAUUCGGCGUGAAACUCGUGUUUUCGUGCAUUUCUAACCUGAAGUAAGUUCGCGCCAAGCGGCACUCUGACGCCCCGAAGGAAACGUCCGUAUAAUAUGAGUUCACGCGUUUACGUGGGCGGUAUCCCCUACGAAACCCGUGAGAGGGACCUAGAAAACUUCUUCAGAGGAUUUGGUCGCAUACGCGACGUUCUCAUCAAGAACGGUUAUGGAUUUGUGGAGUUUGACGAUUAUCGUGACGCAGAAGAUGCGGUUUACGAAUUGCACGGUAAAAAGUUACUGGGCAUGCGAGUCAGCGUAGAAAUGGCCCGAGGCAGACCCAGGGGACGCGAUCAAGAAUGGUUCUCGAGCCGUGAUCAUCGACCACGUGGCGGCGGACAAGGGCCCCCGGUCCGCACGAAUUACCGCAUUUUCGUCGAAAACUUGUCGUCGGGGGUGAGCUGGCAGGACCUUAAAGAUUAUCUGCGACCCGCCGGCGAAGUUACAUUCGCCGACGCCCACAAGAAGUACAAGAACGAGGGUAUCGUCGAAUUUGCGUCGUACGACGACAUGAAGAAUGCCAUCAGAAAAUUUGACGACACCGUUUUGAACGGAAGACGUAUCCGUUUGGUUGAGGAUAAGAGCGCCAGGAGGGGCAGCAGGAGCAGAAGCCGAUCGAGGAGCAGAUCGUCCUCGGGCGAUAGCAGAAAACGCGGACGCUCCAGAAUUGGACAUUGACUUUUGGGCAAUGACCAGCCAGUAAAGCAAUCAAUGAAUUACCUUACACAAACUGAAUGAAAAUAACGAACUCUGUAGUGUGUCGAGGGCCAAAAAGCGUUUUCGUUACAAACCGACCUCCUCGUCACCUCGUGCGUGUCGCAUAAUGUACCAACCAAUGACCAAUUAUAAGCAAUUUUAGACAAUCAAUGCAGUACCGAGCAACACAGACGUUCGCGCCAAAAAAUAUAAAUACAUGGCGCACAGACAGUCAAUCCCGCACAGGGCCAAAAAAUACGUAAAAAAUCUAAAGGGGGCGAUGCAAAAGAUCGGGGCAAUGCGUGUGUGUGCGGGACCAUUAAGCCUGCCCAAUGGUCUAAAUCGAACUCUCCCGUCAAAAAGGAGAAGAAGUCGUCGCGUUCGAGGUCGCGGUCUAGGUCGCCCGAGAAGGAGAGGUCCAAGUCUAGAUCUCCAUCGAAGAGGAAGUCGGUGAAGAGAUCCCGAUCGCGGUCUG
Cylas formicarius (sweet potato weevil) is the source of this 1360-nucleotide RNA transcript. It is a transcript of the gene named serine-arginine protein 55-like, with no coding region annotated. The transcript has 3 exons. Lineage: Eukaryota; Metazoa; Arthropoda; Insecta; Coleoptera; Brentidae. The record is from RefSeq and is a predicted model, not a curated record.